Molecule: ribosomal RNA, 119 nt
Filed under: Pteropus alecto (black flying fox)
Lineage: Eukaryota; Metazoa; Chordata; Mammalia; Chiroptera; Pteropodidae
Source: RNAcentral
GUCUAGGACCAUGCCACCCUGAAUGCGUCAGAUCUUGUCUGAUCUCAGAAGCUAAGCAGGGUAGGGCCUGGUUAGUACUAGGAUGGGAGACCACCUAGGAAUACCAAGUGCUGCAGGCA